CUUUGAGUUUAGCAUCAGUUGAAUAUCUGAAAUAUUCUAGGAUGAGUUGGAAAUGUGAAAGACAAACCAUAUACAUUAUAGCAGCUGUAUUGGGCCACAUACUUCUUAUAGCCUUCCUCCGAUACGGUAGGAUAUUUCGCAACUAAUGAUGGUACUAUACUCUUCCAAUUCCACAAUAGUUUGGCAUCUCAGUCUAUUCGAUGUUUUCCUAUUCCUUGCACUUAUACUAUUGAACGGCGUUGCCAUAUACGUGGGUUGCUGGAUCAGCCUGGAAUAUCCAACACUGGUGCUGGCGGGCACCCUAGCUAUACCCCUCGCUUGUAUCCACCUAUUCGUUUGGCGAAUCGAUGCGUUAACUGAACUUUGGGGUAGAAUCAAAAUAUUAACAAAAAUCGGCCACGUUUUAGUUUUAACGUUUCUGAUAGUUUAUUCUGCGCUUUGGCUGUUUCUUGCCUUUUCCUACUUCAACCAUGUGAGCAACAAUACCUCCUUGGAGAUACUCAAAGAAUAUGGUGGAUAAAUCCCACCACGGAUAAGUCCCCAUAAGUAUGGGGGCUAUGUUAAUAAGAAAACAGUUUCGUCAAAUACUAAACAUUUCCGUUACCGAAAAUGCAUAAGUGAUUGUGUAAAAUACUUGCAAAAUGCCCGGGCCGGGGCCAAAGCCGGGGCUAU
Drosophila miranda is the source of this 672-nucleotide long non-coding RNA. RefSeq lists it as uncharacterized. The transcript has 3 exons. NCBI's taxonomy places the organism in Eukaryota, Metazoa, Arthropoda, Insecta, Diptera, Drosophilidae. The record is from RefSeq and is a predicted model, not a curated record.